UACGAACCGUCCUAACGUUGUUCGGAAUCACUGGGCUUAAAGGGCGCGUAGGCGGCCUUGUAAGUCGGGGGUGAAAUCCCACGGCCUAACCGUGGAAGUGCCUCCGAUACUGCAAGGCUCGAGGGAGGUAGGGGCAGCUGGAACUUCCGGUGGAGCGGUGAAAUGCGUUGAUAUCGGAAGGAACGCCGGUGGCGAAAGCGAGCUGCUGGACCUCUGCUGACGCUGAGGCGCGAAAGCCAGGGGAGCAAACGGG
RNAcentral lists this ribosomal RNA (253 nucleotides) under uncultured bacterium. RNAcentral describes it as "partial 16S ribosomal RNA". It matches the Rfam family "Bacterial small subunit ribosomal RNA", at positions 524 to 776 of the family's 1533-position model. The record is from RNAcentral.